Molecule: ribosomal RNA, 254 nt
Filed under: uncultured bacterium
Lineage: Bacteria
Description: partial 16S ribosomal RNA
Rfam family: Bacterial small subunit ribosomal RNA
Source: RNAcentral
GACGAAGGAUGCAAGCGUUAUCCGGAUUCAUUGGGUUUAAAGGGAGCGUAGGUGGCCUUAUAAGUCAGUGGUGAAAUCUCUGGGCUUAACCCAGAAAUUGCCAUUGAUACUGUAGGGCUUGAGUAUAGUUGCCGUUGGCGGAAUAUGACAUGUAGUGGUGAAAUACAUAGAGAUGUCAUAGAACACCGAUUGCGAAGGCAGCUAACGAAACUAUAACUGACACUGAGGCUCGAAAAGUGCGGGGAUCAAACAGG